AGAGUUUGAUCAUGGCUCAGAAUCAACGCUGGCGGCGUGCCUAACACAUGCAAGUCGAACGCGAAAGCCCGCAAGGGUAAGUAGAGUGGCGCACGGGUGAGUAACACGUGGACAACCUGCCUUCGAGUGGGGAAUAACCUUCCGAAAGGAGGGCUAAUACCGCAUAACACCUCGGAACACAAGUUCUGGGGUUGAAAAGAGCAAUUUGCUCGAAGAGGGGUCCGCGCCUGAUUAGCUAGUUGGUGAGGUAACGGCUCACCAAGGCUUCGAUCAGUAGCCGUCCUGAGAGGGAGCACGGCCACACUGGAACUGAGACACGGUCCAGACUCCUACGGGAGGCAGCAGUGGGGAAUUUUUGGCAAUGGGCGAAAGCCUGACCAAGCAACGCCGCGUGGGUGAUGAAGUAUCUUGGUACGUAAAACCCUUUCGGCAGGGACGAACCUAAUGACGGUACCUGCGAAGAGCCC
RNAcentral lists this ribosomal RNA (467 nucleotides) under uncultured Acidobacteriaceae bacterium. RNAcentral's name for it is "bacterial SSU rRNA". It matches the Rfam family "Bacterial small subunit ribosomal RNA", at positions 8 to 492 of the family's 1533-position model. The record is from RNAcentral. Lineage: Bacteria; Pseudomonadati; Acidobacteriota; Terriglobia; Terriglobales; Acidobacteriaceae.